UAGAUGACAAGAUCCAUUUGAAGUGGGAAU
RNAcentral lists this non-coding RNA (30 nucleotides) under Mus musculus (house mouse). Lineage: Eukaryota; Metazoa; Chordata; Mammalia; Rodentia; Muridae. The record is from RNAcentral.